CACGUAGGGGGCGAGCGUUGUUCGGAAUUACUGGGCGUAAAGGGCAUGUAGGCGGUUUGGUAAGCCUGACGUGAAAGGCUAUGGCUCAACCAUGGCAUGGCGUUGGGAACUGCUAGACUUGAAUCACGGAGAGGGAGCUGGAAUUCCAGGUGUAGGGGUGAAAUCUGUAGAUAUCUGGAAGAACACCAGUGGCGAAGGCGAGCUCCUGGCCGAUGAUUGACGCUGAGGUGCGAAAGUGUGGGGAU
Molecule: ribosomal RNA, 245 nt
Filed under: uncultured Treponema sp.
Lineage: Bacteria; Pseudomonadati; Spirochaetota; Spirochaetia; Treponematales; Treponemataceae
Description: partial 16S ribosomal RNA
Rfam family: Bacterial small subunit ribosomal RNA
Source: RNAcentral